CCUACGGGGGGCAGCAGUAAGGAAUAUUGGUCAAUGGACGCAAGUCUGAACCUGCCAUGCCGCGUGGAGGAUGAAGGUCCUCUGGAUUGUAAACUUCUUUUAUUUGGGAAGAAACUCCCGAUUUCCAUCGGGAUUGACGGUACCAGAUGAAUAAGCACCGGCUAACUCCGUGCCAGCAGCCGCGGUAAUACGGAGGGUGCAGGCGUUAUCCGGAUUCAGUGGGCGUAAAUGGGGAGUAGGUGCACUGGUAAAAGCUCCGGGCUUAACCCGGAAACUGCCAUUGAUACUAUUUGUCUUGAAUACUCUGGAGGUGAGCGGAAUAUGUCAUGUAGCGGUGAAAUGCUUAGAUAUGACAUAGAACACCCAUUGCGAAGGCAGCUCACUACGGAAAUAUUGACGCUGAGGCACGAAAGCGUGGGGAUCAAACAGGAUUAGAUACCCCGGUAGUC
RNAcentral lists this ribosomal RNA (449 nucleotides) under uncultured bacterium. RNAcentral describes it as "partial 16S ribosomal RNA". It matches the Rfam family "Bacterial small subunit ribosomal RNA", at positions 338 to 795 of the family's 1533-position model. The record is from RNAcentral.